RNAcentral lists this unclassified non-coding RNA (241 nucleotides) under plant metagenome. RNAcentral's name for it is "partial contains small subunit ribosomal RNA, internal transcribed spacer 1, and 5.8S ribosomal RNA". The record is from RNAcentral.
UUUCCGUAGGUGAACCUGCGGAAGGAUCAUUAUUGAAUGAAACACUUCUGGCUUUAUGCUGUUGUGCUGGCCCUUUGGGCAAUGUGCACACGGCUCUGGUCACUUGUUUCUUCUGUUCCACCUGUGCACUGCCUGUGGACACGCUGUGUCUAUGAUAUUUGUUAACACACAACAAUGUUAGUUGGCAUGUUAUAUAUAAUAAUAAAAUAUACAACUUUCAACAACGGAUCUCUUGGCUCUC